Molecule: long non-coding RNA, 1967 nt
Organism: Hyalella azteca
Lineage: Eukaryota; Metazoa; Arthropoda; Malacostraca; Amphipoda; Hyalellidae
Exons: 3
Source: RefSeq, a predicted model, not a curated record
AAAUUUGUGCAUUAUUUAUUCACAGUCAUCUGACAUUUGAAAAUCAUGCAAUAAAUUGUCUUGUGAGUUUCUAAUUUUCAUUAAGAAAUAAUACUUCUAUGUUAUCAUUCAUACGGUAUAUACCUACAGCAUACCUACCUUCACAUUCAACACAGGUUGAAUGUGUAAAAAAAAAAUAACAUUUUUAAUUGAUUCAAAAUUAUUUCUAAGAAUUUUUAAAAUGCAUCAUUAAAUGCAGAUUCUUUCUGUAUUGUUUUUAAUUGAUUUUCAAUUUCUAUGAAUUUUUAAAAUGCAUCAUUAAAUGCAGUUUCUUUUGUAUUACCAUUCAUAAUUCAAAAUGUUUGGCAGUUAUUGGAAGCAGCAAGUACAAGGCUGCUGUCAAGCUAAGAGUACCUACUGACGUUUUGCACCAUGUCGUCUUUUAAGACGUACCUGUUCAGUACAGAAUAUUUCUGGGGAAUCUUUGCCACAGAGAUGGUGUGUGGUAAGCACUCGCCGCCUGCCAUGACGCACUUGGACUCCCAUUAAACUGCCUUGCCGUGUGCGGUGCCAUGAUCAAUAUGGCAUCAUCAGACGUGCUGGUCUGCCUCACAGCAACAGACAGUGGCAUUGAUGGAUGGUUUGCACCGUGGUCUGGGCAGACAAGGCGCAUCAUCAGCCGCACCACAUGUCCUCCUCUACUCGGGGCGGUACUAACACCGCGGGUGCCGGCAGUGGAGCUGUCACAUCGUCCUUUGUCGUUGGCACCAGAACGUCGCCAUUCUCUGGCAGUCGGGACUUGAUUGUGUCGAAUGCGGGGCCUGGCAAUCAGCCAUGCUUGCUCCGAUGACCAGGACUUGAUUGUGUCGAGUGCGGGGCCUGGCAAUCAGCCAUGCUUGCUCCGAUGACCAGGACUUGAUUGUGUCGAGUGCGGGGCCUGGCAAUCAGCCAUGCUUGCUCCGAUGGUCGGGACUUGAUUGUGUCGAGUGUGGGGCCUGGCAAUCCGCCAUGCUUGCUCCGAUGGUCGGGAUUUGAUUGUGUCGAGUGCGGGGCCUGGCAAUCAGCCAUGCUUGCUCCGAUGGUGGGGACUUGAUUGUGUCGAGUGCGGUGCCUGUCAAUCAGCUCUCCUUGCUUUUCACUGCCGGGUUCGGCAGACGAAUCUACCUAUGGGAGGUUUCCACAGUCAAGAAAAAAAAAAGAGUGAUUCUUUUCAAAACUAUAGCCUGGUAUGUAGGUUUCCAAUGGCAUUGGUUUAGAUUCUCAAUUCCCGUUUUGGUACAUGGUUGUGCUAAACAGAUUUACCUACAGUCUCUAACUUAAUACUGGUCUGUAGUCCUUAAAUGGAUAUGAGUAUUCAGUUCCUAAGAGCUCACAGUUCGACAGUCCCUAAACGCAUUUUUUUGUGUGCAGAUUUCACUGACAUUUUGUUUUGUUCGCUCGCACCAAAAUUUCGUGGUAGUAGUUCCUGAAUGCAUUCAGGCGCCAUCUCCUCGUGCUAACUGAUUAGCAACAACAGAAGUAUUCAGAACCUGUUUCAUGCUAUACUGAUUUCCAUCAAGUUUGUCGACAAUGAUUCCCAGAGACGUGCAAAUGCGUUUCUUGCGUGGUGUUAUUGAUUUACUUUGAGGCUGAAAAUCGUUGCUGUUCACUGUGGAUACAAAUAAUAUUUAACUUCUCUUUCAAUACUUAUAUUAGCUCUUGUUGUCUUGUUCGAUCAGGAAAUUAUUAUUUGAUAAAUUUAUCUAGAAAAAUGUUGGUCACAUUUUUUGUGAAUUUGGAGGUUGUUUGUUGCCUAGUUGAACUAGUAUAAGGUUGACCCAUGAGAAGCUUAUUUCUGCUGAUGUAGUUAGUUGUUCGCCUGUGACGUCACUGAUCUCAGUGACGUCACGGGCAUUAGCCAAUCACCAAAAUACGAUCAAACAGUCAACCAAUCCGCCAUGGGAAUGACGGGAUUGUUAACGUUUCUCGAUCUCAGUGACGUAACAAGA